GCUGCAGUCGAGAAUCUUUCGCAAUGGGCGAAAGCCUGACGAAGCGACGCUGCGUGAGUGAUGAAGGCUUUCGGGUUGUAAAACUCUUUCGCGCAAGAGCAAAGUGGAUUAGUGAAUAACUGAUUCAUAUGAGAGUAC
Molecule: ribosomal RNA, 138 nt
Filed under: uncultured Chlamydiales bacterium
Lineage: Bacteria; Pseudomonadati; Chlamydiota; Chlamydiia; Chlamydiales
Description: partial 16S ribosomal RNA
Rfam family: Bacterial small subunit ribosomal RNA
Source: RNAcentral